GAGAUGUGAUGAGCAACAAAUUGGUCCGUGUUUCUGAUUUAACCGUGACCGAAAAUUUUAAACCAAACUCUGAUCUC
Brassica napus (rape) is the source of this 77-nucleotide non-coding RNA. Lineage: Eukaryota; Viridiplantae; Streptophyta; Magnoliopsida; Brassicales; Brassicaceae. The record is from Rfam.